Molecule: transfer RNA, 71 nt
Filed under: Bovichtus angustifrons
Lineage: Eukaryota; Metazoa; Chordata; Actinopteri; Perciformes; Bovichtidae
Description: tRNA-Ser
Rfam family: tRNA
About the family: Transfer RNA (tRNA) molecules are approximately 80 nucleotides in length.
Source: RNAcentral
AAGAAAAUGACAGAGAGGUUAUGUGGUUGGCUUGAAACCAAUUUACGGGGGUUCGACUCCUCCUUUUCUCG